RNAcentral lists this ribosomal RNA (305 nucleotides) under uncultured bacterium. RNAcentral describes it as "bacterial SSU rRNA". It matches the Rfam family "Bacterial small subunit ribosomal RNA", at positions 335 to 654 of the family's 1533-position model. The record is from RNAcentral.
GAUCCUACGGGGCGCAGCAGUGGGGAAUAUUGCACAAUGGGGGAAACCCUGAUGCAGCAACGCCGCGUGAAGGAAGACGGUUUUCGGAUUGUAAACUUCUAUCAAUAGGGAAGAAAGAAAUGACGGUACCUAAAUAAGAAGCCCCGGCUAGCUACGUGCCAGCAGCCGCGGUAAUACGUAGGGGGCAAGCGUUAUCCGGAAUUACUGGGUGUAAAGGGAGAGUAGGCGGCAAGGUAAGCGAUAUGUGAAAGCCUUAGGCUUAACUUGAGGAUUGCAUAACGAACUAUCUAGCUAGAGUAAAGGAG